UAAGAAAUUUCUCAUGGCCUGAACUGCAUGAGGGCAAGUGUAUAAAACCUGCCUCACACUGGAGUUUAGAGAGAGAAGAACUGCUCAAGGAGAACAGCUGCACAAAGAUAUAGACUCCAGAUAACUAUCAGUAAUUAUUGCAUAUUCCCGUCAUUGUGCACAAAGAUGAAACUUGUCAUUCAGAGCAUCAUUCUCUUGGUCUGUGGGGUCGCUUGCAAUUCAGCAAUUCUGAAAUGCCAUUGUUUACGGACAUCCAAGACAGUACAGCCCUCUCUCAUCAAAAAAGUUCAGGAGUUUCUGCCUCGUCCAUAUUGUAGCAAGCUGGAAAUCAUAGUCACACUAAAAAACAAUGUCAAAGUGUGUCUGGACCCCACCCAUAAAUUUGCAAAAGCAGUCCUGCAAUCUAUAAAAGUGAAAAGUGAAAGACAAGCUGAAGUCAGAACAAUGGGGUCGACAACGACCACAACGGCAGCGACAGCAGUGCCAACAUGGUCAUAAUGCCUGUUUUUGACAGAUGCUUUAAAAACUAAGCUAAAACAUUUGAAGAUGAAUAAAGCUAGCUUUUGAAAAUGUCAGCGAUGGAAAAAAACAUUUUAAAAUAAAUAUACAGCUAAAGUGAUUUAUGAAGCCAGUAAUAGUUUAAUAGUCUAUUUUCGAACAAACAAUUUUGCUAAAAUAUGUAACAUUUUUCUGUUUGUAAGAAAUGAAUUAUGCAUUUUCUACUGCACAUCUGUGUUCAAGGCUGAAAUCAUAAAGUGCAGGCACUUGAACUUUUGUGUUAUAAUCAAUUGAUUUGUAAUAAAAUGUAAAAAAUGCUGAACAGUA
Molecule: non-coding RNA, 825 nt
Organism: Oryzias latipes (Japanese medaka)
Lineage: Eukaryota; Metazoa; Chordata; Actinopteri; Beloniformes; Adrianichthyidae
Source: RefSeq, a predicted model, not a curated record